This 1076-nucleotide long non-coding RNA is filed under the name Aquilegia coerulea. RNAcentral describes it as "long non-coding RNA (ACOE_LNC002174)". Lineage: Eukaryota; Viridiplantae; Streptophyta; Magnoliopsida; Ranunculales; Ranunculaceae. The record is from RNAcentral.
UUUUGGCUCAACAUUAAUAUUUUGAACAAUGUCUGGUUAUGUUUUUUUCUCAUAAUGUAACAGGUAUUGUAGUCCAUAUGUCUUGGCCAAGGCUUAUAAGGCUGCUUGUAGAGAUAAUAUAAUACCUAUAUUGUGUGAAGAUGAAUGGGAGCCAAUUCAGGUACUAUACAUUUUUUUUUUUCUGAAUUAAUAUUGUGGCAUGGUUUUUUCUUAAUAUUUCUUAUUUCUUAAAAUGCAGGAAAAUAAUACUGUAUUCCCCCCAUUAGGGAGAGACAACCAGGCAGGCCUAAAGUGAAUAGGAUUAGAAGUGCACAAGAGGAUCCAGAUAGGAGAACUGUGAAGUGCAGUUCAUGUGGUGGGUUUGGACACAACAAAAAAGGUUGUCAAGGAGGUCCUGUUGGUGAAAAGGUUCCAUUACAGGAUAAUAACAAUGUUGUUGAGAAAGAAAGAAAUAAGGGUGGGAGACCUAGAACUAGACCGUUGAAGAAUACUAAUCUUCCACCUAGAUAUCAACCACCGGAAGAUAAUGGGAGGGGGAGGAGAAGAGGAAGAGCGAGGGGUAGGAGUGGAAGAGGUAGAACACAAUCAUCUAAUGGUAGGGGGGCUGGAAGAGGUAGGGGUGAAAACAUAGUUGAUAUUGAUCAAGCUGAACCAUCAUUGGCUGAAAUGUUUGCUGGCAGAGGAGAAGGUGGUAGAGUAAGUGGAGCUGGAAGAGGAAGAGCUAGUGGAGGUGGGCCCGAUCAUAUUUCUCCAAAGUUUCCUUCCUUAACAAAAAAAUCUCUUAUAUUUUUCUCCUAAUCUGUUUCCAAAACCAAGUUUCCUUUUUGCACAAAAAAUCUCUAUGAUUCUUCUCCCAGUCUCUUCCAAAAUCUAUAUAUCGUCUUUGACAAAAAAUCUCAACGAUUUUUCUCCUAAUCUCUUUCAAAAACCAUGUAUUAUAAUAUCUUCUCCUCUACCUUAAUCUUAGGUAGAAAUAUCUUCUUAACCUUAUUUGGUUUCAUUAUUUAAGCGUUUUUAUCUUCCAAAAAUGAAAUCAUCUCUUUUUUUUUAUCUUUAAACACCUCUACUUGAAGUAC